GGGUUGUGAGGUUAAGCGACUAAGCGUACACGGUGGAUGCCCUGGCAGUCAGAGGCGAUGAAGGACGUGCUAAUCUGCGAUAAGCGUCGGUAAGGUGAUAUGAACCGUUAUAACCGGCGAUUUCCGAAUGGGGAAACCCAGUGUGAUUCGUCACACUAUCAUUAACUGAAUCCAUAGGUUAAUGAGGCGAACCGGGGGAACUGAAACAUCUAAGUACCCCGAGGAAAAGAAAUCAACCGAGAUUCCCCCAGUAGCGGCGAGCGAACGGGGAGCAGCCCAGAGCCUGAAUCAGUGUGUGUGUUAGUGGAAGCGUCUGGAAAGGCGCGCGAUACAGGGUGACAGCCCCGUACACAAAAAUGCACAUGCUGUGAGCUCGAUGAGUAGGGCGGGACACGUGGUAUCCUGUCUGAAUAUGGGGGGACCAUCCUCCAAGGCUAAAUACUCCUGACUGACCGAUAGUGAACCAGUACCGUGAGGGAAAGGCGAAAAGAACCCCGGCGAGGGGAGUGAAAAAGAACCUGAAACCGUGUACGUACAAGCAGUGGGAGCACGCUUAGGCGUGUGACUGCGUACCUUUUGUAUAAUGGGUCAGCGACUUAUAUUCUGUAGCAAGGUUAACCGAAUAGGGGAGCCGAAGGGAAACCGAGUCUUAACUGGGCGUUAAGUUGCAGGGUAUAGACCCGAAACCCGGUGAUCUAGCCAUGGGCAGGUUGAAGGUUGGGUAACACUAACUGGAGGACCGAACCGACUAAUGUUGAAAAAUUAGCGGAUGACUUGUGGCUGGGGGUGAAAGGCCAAUCAAACCGGGAGAUAGCUGGUUCUCCCCGAAAGCUAUUUAGGUAGCGCCUCGUGAAUUCAUCUCCGGGGGUAGAGCACUGUUUCGGCAAGGGGGUCAUCCCGACUUACCAACCCGAUGCAAACUGCGAAUACCGGAGAAUGUUAUCACGGGAGACACACGGCGGGUGCUAACGUCCGUCGUGAAGAGGGAAACAACCCAGACCGCCAGCUAAGGUCCCAAAGUCAUGGUUAAGUGGGAAACGAUGUGGGAAGGCCCAGACAGCCAGGAUGUUGGCUUAGAAGCAGCCAUCAUUUAAAGAAAGCGUAAUAGCUCACUGGUCGAGUCGGCCUGCGCGGAAGAUGUAACGGGGCUAAACCAUGCACCGAAGCUGCGGCAGCGACGCUUAUGCGUUGUUGGGUAGGGGAGCGUUCUGUAAGCCUGUGAAGGUGUACUGUGAGGUAUGCUGGAGGUAUCAGAAGUGCGAAUGCUGACAUAAGUAACGAUAAAGCGGGUGAAAAGCCCGCUCGCCGGAAGACCAAGGGUUCCUGUCCAACGUUAAUCGGGGCAGGGUGAGUCGACCCCUAAGGCGAGGCCGAAAGGCGUAGUCGAUGGGAAACAGGUUAAUAUUCCUGUACUUGGUGUUACUGCGAAGGGGGGACGGAGAAGGCUAUGUUGGCCGGGCGACGGUUGUCCCGGUUUAAGCGUGUAGGCUGGUUUUCCAGGCAAAUCCGGAAAAUCAAGGCUGAGGCGUGAUGACGAGGCACUACGGUGCUGAAGCAACAAAUGCCCUGCUUCCAGGAAAAGCCUCUAAGCAUCAGGUAACAUCAAAUCGUACCCCAAACCGACACAGGUGGUCAGGUAGAGAAUACCAAGGCGCUUGAGAGAACUCGGGUGAAGGAACUAGGCAAAAUGGUGCCGUAACUUCGGGAGAAGGCACGCUGAUAUGUAGGUGAAGUCCCUCGCGGAUGGAGCUGAAAUCAGUCGAAGAUACCAGCUGGCUGCAACUGUUUAUUAAAAACACAGCACUGUGCAAACACGAAAGUGGACGUAUACGGUGUGACGCCUGCCCGGUGCCGGAAGGUUAAUUGAUGGGGUUAGCGCAAGCGAAGCUCUUGAUCGAAGCCCCGGUAAACGGCGGCCGUAACUAUAACGGUCCUAAGGUAGCGAAAUUCCUUGUCGGGUAAGUUCCGACCUGCACGAAUGGCGUAAUGAUGGCCAGGCUGUCUCCACCCGAGACUCAGUGAAAUUGAACUCGCUGUGAAGAUGCAGUGUACCCGCGGCAAGACGGAAAGACCCCGUGAACCUUUACUAUAGCUUGACACUGAACAUUGAGCCUUGAUGUGUAGGAUAGGUGGGAGGCUUUGAAGUGUGGACGCCAGUCUGCAUGGAGCCGACCUUGAAAUACCACCCUUUAAUGUUUGAUGUUCUAACGUUGACCCGUAAUCCGGGUUGCGGACAGUGUCUGGUGGGUAGUUUGACUGGGGCGGUCUCCUCCUAAAGAGUAACGGAGGAGCACGAAGGUUGGCUAAUCCUGGUCGGACAUCAGGAGGUUAGUGCAAUGGCAUAAGCCAGCUUGACUGCGAGCGUGACGGCGCGAGCAGGUGCGAAAGCAGGUCAUAGUGAUCCGGUGGUUCUGAAUGGAAGGGCCAUCGCUCAACGGAUAAAAGGUACUCCGGGGAUAACAGGCUGAUACCGCCCAAGAGUUCAUAUCGACGGCGGUGUUUGGCACCUCGAUGUCGGCUCAUCACAUCCUGGGGCUGAAGUAGGUCCCAAGGGUAUGGCUGUUCGCCAUUUAAAGUGGUACGCGAGCUGGGUUUAGAACGUCGUGAGACAGUUCGGUCCCUAUCUGCCGUGGGCGCUGGAGAACUGAGGGGGGCUGCUCCUAGUACGAGAGGACCGGAGUGGACGCAUCACUGGUGUUCGGGUUGUCAUGCCAAUGGCACUGCCCGGUAGCUAAAUGCGGAAGAGAUAAGUGCUGAAAGCAUCUAAGCACGAAACUUGCCCCGAGAUGAGUUCUCCCUGACUCCUUGAGAGUCCUGAAGGAACGUUGAAGACGACGACGUUGAUAGGCCGGGUGUGUAAGCGCAGCGAUGCGUUGAGCUAACCGGUACUAAUGAACCGUGAGGCUUAACCUUACAACGCCGAAG
RNAcentral lists this ribosomal RNA (2925 nucleotides) under Escherichia coli. RNAcentral describes it as "bacterial LSU rRNA". It matches the Rfam family "Bacterial large subunit ribosomal RNA". Lineage: Bacteria; Pseudomonadati; Pseudomonadota; Gammaproteobacteria; Enterobacterales; Enterobacteriaceae. RNAcentral also lists the same sequence under 1 other name. The record is from RNAcentral.